RNAcentral lists this ribosomal RNA (560 nucleotides) under uncultured bacterium. RNAcentral describes it as "partial 16S ribosomal RNA". It matches the Rfam family "Bacterial small subunit ribosomal RNA", at positions 355 to 905 of the family's 1533-position model. The record is from RNAcentral.
UAGGGAAUCUUCCACAAUGGACGCAAGUCUGAUGGAGCAACGCCGCGUGAGUGAAGAAGGUUUUCGGACCGUAAAGCUCUGUUGUUGGUGAAGAAGGAUAGAGGUAGUAACUGGCCUUUAUUUGACGGUAAUCAACCAGAAAGUCACGGCUAACUACGUGCCAGCAGCCGCGGUAAUACGUAGGUGGCAAGCGUUGUCCGGAUUUAUUGGGCGUAAAGCGAGCGCAGGCGGAAGAAUAAGUCUGAUGUGAAAGCCCUCGGCUUAACCGAGGAAUUGCAUCGGAAACUGUUUUUCUUGAGUGCAGAAGAGGAGAGUAGAACUCCAUGUGUAGCGGUGGAAUGCGUAGAUAUAUGGAAGAAUACCAGUGGCGAAGGCGGCUCUCUGGUCUGCAACUGACGCUGAGGCUCGAAAGCAUGGGUAGCGAACAGGAUUAGAUACCCUGGUAGUCCAUGCCGUAAACGAUGAGUGCUAAGUGUUGGGAGGCUUCCGCCUCUCAGUGCUGCAGCUAACGCAUUAAGCACUCCGCCUGGGGGAGUACGACCGCAAGGUUGAAACUCUAA